RNAcentral lists this ribosomal RNA (254 nucleotides) under uncultured bacterium. Its description in RNAcentral is "partial 16S ribosomal RNA". It matches the Rfam family "Bacterial small subunit ribosomal RNA", at positions 524 to 776 of the family's 1533-position model. The record is from RNAcentral.
UACGGAGGGUGCAAGCGUUAUCCGGAUUUACUGGGUUUAAAGGGUGCGCAGGCGGAUAUGUAAGUCAGUGGUGAAAUCUUCCCGCUUAACGGGAAAACUGCCAUUGAUACUAUAUAUCUUGAAUGCUGUGGAGGUAAGCAGAAUAUGUCAUGUAGCGGUGAAAUGCUUAGAGAUGACAUAGAAUACCUAUUGCGAAGGCAGCUUACUACGCAGAUAUUGACGCUCAUGCACGAAAAGCGUGGGGAUCAAACAGG